GACGAACGCUGGCGGCGCGCCUAACACAUGCAAGUCGAACGAGAGAGAGGGAGCUUGCUUCCUCGAUCGAGUGGCGAACGGGUGAGUAACGCGUGAGGAACCUGCCUCAAAGAGGGGGACAACAGUUGGAAACGACUGCUAAUACCGCAUAAGCCCACGGCUCGGCAUCGAGCAGAGGGAAAAGGAGCAAUCCGCUUUGAGAUGGCCUCGCGUCCGAUUAGCUAGUUGGUGAGGUAACGGCCCACCAAGGCGACGAUCGGUAGCCGGACUGAGAGGUUGAACGGCCACAUUGGGACUGAGACACGGCCCAGACUCCUACGGGAGGCAGCAGUGGGGAAUAUUGCACAAUGGGGGAAACCCUGAUGCAGCGACGCCGCGUGGAGGAAGAAGGUCUUCGGAUUGUAAACUCCUGUUGU
This 416-nucleotide ribosomal RNA is filed under the name uncultured bacterium. RNAcentral's name for it is "bacterial SSU rRNA". It matches the Rfam family "Bacterial small subunit ribosomal RNA", at positions 28 to 439 of the family's 1533-position model. The record is from RNAcentral.